This 781-nucleotide ribosomal RNA is filed under the name uncultured Lactobacillus sp. RNAcentral's name for it is "bacterial SSU rRNA". It matches the Rfam family "Bacterial small subunit ribosomal RNA", at positions 54 to 804 of the family's 1533-position model. The record is from RNAcentral. Lineage: Bacteria; Bacillati; Bacillota; Bacilli; Lactobacillales; Lactobacillaceae.
UGNGCACCUGGAAAGAUGCAAGCAGUGGGAGACGAGAGAGCGGAGACAUGGUGAGGAACGACGUGGGAAAACCUGCCCAUGUGAGAGUAGGGGGAUGAACACUUGGAAACAGGUGCUGAAUACCGUAUAACAACCAAAACCACCUGGUUUUGGUUUAAAAGACGGCUUCGGCUGUCACUUUAGGAUGGACCCGCGGCGUAUUAGCUUGUUGGUAAGGUAACGGCCUACCAAGGCGAUGAUACGUAGCCGACCUGAGAGGGUAAUCGGCCACAUUGGGACUGAGACACGGCCCAAACUCCUACGGGAGGCAGCAGUAGGGAAUCUUCCACAAUGGACGAAAGUCUGAUGGAGCAACGCCGCGUGAGUGAUGAAGGGUUUCGGCUCGUAAAACUCUGUUGUUGGAGAAGAACAGGUGUCAGAGUAACUGUUGACAUCUUGACGGUAUCCAACCAGAAAGCCACGGCUAACUACGUGCCAGCAGCCGCGGUAAUACGUAGGUGGCAAGCGUUGUCCGGAUUUAUUGGGCGUAAAGCGAGCGCAGGCGGUUUUUUAGGUCUGAUGUGAAAGCCUUCGGCUUAACCGGAGAAGUGCAUCGGAAACCGGGAGACUUGAGUGCAGAAGAGGACAGUGGAACUCCAUGUGUAGCGGUGAAAUGCGUAGAUCAUAUGGAAGAACACCAAGUGGCGAAAGNGCGGCUGANCUGGAUCUGUAACUGNACGCCUGAAGGCUCGAAAAGCCAUGGGGGUAAGGCGAACCAGGGAUCACGGAUACCCCAUGGGUA